UACGUAGGUGGCGAGCGUUAUCCGGAAUUACUGGGCGUAAAGCGUGCGCAGGCGGUUUUGUAAGACAGAUGUGAAAUCCCCGGGCUUAACCUGGGACCUGCAUUUGUGACUGCAAGGCUAGAGUACGGUAGAGGGGGAUGGAAUUCCGCGUGUAGCAGUGAAAUGCGUAGAUAUGCGGAGGAACACCGAUGGCGAAGGCAAUCCCCUGGACCUGUACUGACGCUCAUGCACGAAAGCGUGGGGAGCAAACAGG
This 253-nucleotide ribosomal RNA is filed under the name uncultured bacterium. RNAcentral's name for it is "partial 16S ribosomal RNA". It matches the Rfam family "Bacterial small subunit ribosomal RNA", at positions 524 to 776 of the family's 1533-position model. The record is from RNAcentral.